RNAcentral lists this long non-coding RNA (590 nucleotides) under Setaria italica (foxtail millet). RNAcentral's name for it is "long non-coding RNA (SITA_LNC005438)". The record is from RNAcentral. Lineage: Eukaryota; Viridiplantae; Streptophyta; Magnoliopsida; Poales; Poaceae.
CGGCGACUGGACACCAAGAUCAAAAGGCGCGCGUGCGAGAGAGCGCCUCGUCGCCGGCGUCGCGGUAAGAGCAACCGCGUGGCCGCGACUGCGUGCACUGCCGCCUUAGCUUGGUGGUGACCUGGUGGACCGUGGAAGUGGAAGCCGGCGACCUGACGCUAGCGCCAUGGAAAGAUGAAGUCGCCGCGGCCUUUCACACCUGUCGGCAGCCACCGAAGCGCCCGUCCGCGCGUUGGUGUCGCCGCCGCCUCGUCGUGCCGUCCGUUAGACGAGCCGUGCGCCCGUGCCGGCUGCCGCAGCUGGGGAUCUACCGCAAGUUGUGCAGCAGCAGCGUUUGCGUUCCGUCCAACCGCGCCGGCGCGUGUCUCAGGUCUUUGGUUGCAGCGCAACUCGAGCGGGACGGCGGCUCGGCGGCGCCGGCUGGGGAGUGCACGCGUCGAGUGUUCCGGUCGCAUAUGCUUAUGCACGCAGGCCCUUGGGUAAUUACUGAGCUGAAAGCCUGAACGGUCGACAAAAGUUCAGGUAACCUUGCCAUGGCAAACGGUGUUCUUGGACUAUCGGGAGGUGUUUGGCCCGUGCUUCCUGCCCCC